RNAcentral lists this ribosomal RNA (492 nucleotides) under uncultured bacterium. Its description in RNAcentral is "partial 16S ribosomal RNA". It matches the Rfam family "Bacterial small subunit ribosomal RNA", at positions 29 to 507 of the family's 1533-position model. The record is from RNAcentral.
AGUGAACGCUGGCGGUAGGCCUAACACAUGCAAGUCGAACGGCAGCACAGUAAGAGCUUGCUCUUACGGGUGGCGAGUGGCGGACGGGUGAGGAAUACAUCGGAAUCUACUUUUUCGUGGGGGAUAACGUAGGGAAACUUACGCUAAUACCGCAUACGACCUACGGGUGAAAGCAGGGGAUCUUCGGACCUUGCGCGAUUGAAUGAGCCGAUGUCGGAUUAGCUAGUUGGCGGGGUAAAGGCCCACCAAGGCGACGAUCCGUAGCUGGUCGGAGAGGAUGAGCAGCCACACUGGAACUGAGACACGGUCCAGACUCCUACGGGAGGCAGCAGUGGGGAAUAUUGGACAAUGGGCGAAAGCCUGAUCCAGCCAUACCGCGUGGGUGAAGAAGGCCUUCGGGUUGUAAAGCCCUUUUGUUGGGAAAGAAAAGCAGCAGGUUAAUACCCCGCUGUUCUGACGGUACCCAAAGAAUAAGCACCGGCUAACUUCGUG